RNAcentral lists this ribosomal RNA (253 nucleotides) under uncultured bacterium. Its description in RNAcentral is "partial 16S ribosomal RNA". It matches the Rfam family "Bacterial small subunit ribosomal RNA", at positions 524 to 776 of the family's 1533-position model. The record is from RNAcentral.
UACGUAGGGACCAAGCGUUGUUCGGAUUUACUGGGCGUAAAGGGCGCGUAGGCGGCGUGACAAGUCACUUGUGAAAUCUCUGGGCUUAACCCAGAACGGCCAAGUGAAACUGUUGUGCUAGAGUGCGGAAGGGGCAACUGGAAUUCUUGGUGUAGCGGUGAAAUGCGUAGAUAUCAAGAGGAACACCUGCGGCGAAGGCGGGUUGCUGGGCCGACACUGACGCUGAGGCGCGAAAGCCAGGGGAGCGAACGGG